Molecule: small RNA, 131 nt
Filed under: Salmonella enterica subsp. salamae
Lineage: Bacteria; Pseudomonadati; Pseudomonadota; Gammaproteobacteria; Enterobacterales; Enterobacteriaceae
Description: RtT sRNA
Rfam family: RtT RNA
About the family: This family represents a bacterial cis-regulatory element known as RtT RNA. The exact function of RtT is unknown although it is thought that it may be involved in changing the cellular response in relation to amino acid starvation.
Source: RNAcentral
UAUUUCUCCGUACGGGGAAGGAUGAGAAGCUUCGACUAAGGUUCGAUUCGAGCACUGCGAGAAAGCGUUGCCGCAGGCAACGACCCGAAGGGUGAGGAGCGGAGCGACGAAUAAUCCUUCCCCCACCACCA